GUUUAGUCAAGUGUGGGACUUAUGGAACCAAUUAAGGGUAUAAAGUCUUGUAUUAUAAAUAACAGCCAUUUUAUGGUAGGCUAUGAACAAUACUAAAAACUUAAAUGAUCUGAGAUUGAAUAACAGGUACAUUAGAGAGAAAUGAUUCUAUCUUCUUUGGAAUUCUGCAAACAGAAAUAUAGUUCAAUUUAUAUGUUUCUUCCAUGGGUACUGAGUGAUGUAUGCAGUUUAGCAUGCCAGAGGUGUCUGUAAAUCUGCUAAGUAUGUGGCAAAAAAUGAAGACAAACCCAAUUCUUUUUAUGAGGCUAGCAUGCUGUUAGUAGCAAAUGAAUCUUCAUAUGUACACUUACUGUAGCUUCUGCUUUCAGUUUUACACCGUGACUGAUAUUGGACAAAAGAAUGGGUAUCUGCCCUUCAGGAGAAUUGGAAGCAGAGAUUGUUAUAAAACACUUUCAAAGGUUGGAGCUAUAAGGUCUUCCGCUUUCUAUCCCCUGUGACCUUUUGAAACCACACAUAAUGAUUGCUUCUGCCUCUUUGAGGGAGGGGAAAAAAUCUUUCAUG
This 561-nucleotide long non-coding RNA is filed under the name Struthio camelus australis. RNAcentral describes it as "lncRNA (ENSSCUG00000007291.1)". Lineage: Eukaryota; Metazoa; Chordata; Aves; Struthioniformes; Struthionidae. The record is from RNAcentral.